Podarcis lilfordi (Lilford's wall lizard) is the source of this 110-nucleotide non-coding RNA. The record is from the annotation of a GenBank genome assembly. Lineage: Eukaryota; Metazoa; Chordata; Lepidosauria; Squamata; Lacertidae.
AGAGGAGCACCAGAAAUAGUUUGUGUGCAUGUGCACGGGCCUUCUCUGACCCAGAUUUGCACCAGAAAUAAUGUUUGCUCAUGCGCACAAGCUAUUUCUGGUGCUCCUCU